GGGUAGUUUGACUGGGGCGGUCUCCUCCUAAAGAGUAACGGAGGAGCACGAAGGUUGGCUAAUCCUGGUCGGACAUCAGGAGGUUAGUGCAAUGGCAUAAGCCAGCUUGACUGCGAGCGUGACGGCGCGAGCAGGUGCGAAAGCAGGUCAUAGUGAUCCGGUGGUUCUGAAUGGAAGGGCCAUCGCUCAACGGAUAAAAGGUACUCCGGGGAUAACAGGCUGAUACCGCCCAAGAGUUCAUAUCGACGGCGGUGUUUGGCACCUCGAUGUCGGCUCAUCACAUCCUGGGGCUGAAGUAGGUCCCAAGGGUAUGGCUGUUCGCCAUUUAAAGUGGUACGCGAGCUGGGUUUAGAACGUCGUGAGACAGUUCGGUCCCUAUCUGCCGUGGGCGCUGGAGAACUGAGGGGGGCUGCUCCUAGUACGAGAGGACCGGAGUGGACGCAUCACUGGUGUUCGGGUUGUCAUGCCAAUGGCACUGCCCGGUAGCUAAAUGCGGAAGAGAUAAGUGCUGAAAGCAUCUAAGCACGAAACUUGCCCCGAGAUGAGUUCUCCCUGACUCCUUGAGAGUCCUGAAGGAACGUUGAAGACGACGACGUUGAUAGGCCGGGUGUGUAAGCGCAGCGAUGCGUUGAGCUAACCGGUACUAAUGAACC
This 653-nucleotide ribosomal RNA is filed under the name Escherichia coli. RNAcentral's name for it is "partial 23S ribosomal RNA". It matches the Rfam family "Bacterial large subunit ribosomal RNA", at positions 2263 to 2910 of the family's 2925-position model. Lineage: Bacteria; Pseudomonadati; Pseudomonadota; Gammaproteobacteria; Enterobacterales; Enterobacteriaceae. The record is from RNAcentral.